GACGAACGCUGGCGGCGUGCUUAACACAUGCAAGUCGAACGGAAAGGCCUGCUUUCCCUUGUGGAUUGCGGGUACUCGAGUGGCGAACGGGUGAGUAACACGUGAGUGAUCUGCCCCCAACUUGGGUAUAAGCCUGGGAAACUGGGUCUAAUUCCCGAUAGGACUGCAGGGUGGUGCCUGUGGUGGAAAACGAUUUUCUAGUGGUUGGGGAUGAGCUCGCGGCCUAUCAGCUUGUUGGUGGGGUAAUGGCCUACCAAGGCGGCGACGGGUAGCCGGCCUGGGAGGGUGGACGGGCACAUUUGGACUGGGGUACGGCCCCGAAUCCUACGGGAGGCAGCAGGGGGGAAAAUUGGACCAUGGGCGGAAGCCUGAUGCCGCGACGCCGCGGGGGGGAUGGCGGGCUUCGGGUUGGAAACCCCCUUCGACCGGGGGGAAGCCCCCUGGUUUGAAGGGGGGUGACGGUUGUGGUAGAAGAAGCACCGGCUAACUACGUG
RNAcentral lists this ribosomal RNA (494 nucleotides) under uncultured bacterium. RNAcentral's name for it is "partial 16S ribosomal RNA". It matches the Rfam family "Bacterial small subunit ribosomal RNA", at positions 28 to 507 of the family's 1533-position model. The record is from RNAcentral.